Molecule: non-coding RNA, 41 nt
Filed under: Plasmodium falciparum 3D7
Lineage: Eukaryota; Apicomplexa; Aconoidasida; Haemosporida; Plasmodiidae
Source: RNAcentral
CUGCAACUAAAAAUAUAAUAGUUUCACCUAAAAUUUCACUA